ACUUCCAAAAAUCCGAUAGCAAGUUCAAAUUCGGAUGGCGGCAUAUCAAUAAAGGAUAGUUCGAUAUUAUAAUAAUACAAAAGUUAGACUGAAGAUCUUCCAUCCAGGAGAUCUAGUCUUAGAAAAAGCAGAAGUCUCAAAAUCUUUGGAUCAGAGAAAAUUAUCUCUGAAUUGAAAAGGACCUUACAGAAUAAUCGAGAUG
Molecule: long non-coding RNA, 202 nt
Filed under: Elaeis guineensis (African oil palm)
Lineage: Eukaryota; Viridiplantae; Streptophyta; Magnoliopsida; Arecales; Arecaceae
Description: long non-coding RNA (EGUI_LNC026196)
Source: RNAcentral